Non-coding RNA from Meleagris gallopavo (turkey), 1729 nucleotides. NCBI's taxonomy places the organism in Eukaryota, Metazoa, Chordata, Aves, Galliformes, Phasianidae. The record is from RefSeq and is a predicted model, not a curated record.
UAGAGAACCACAGUGUGGGAUCUCUUUGCCUAUUGAAGGUCUCAUCUUGGAAAGCCCACAUCUUUUUAUGUGUGAAAUAAAUUUUCCUUAUAUAAAUCUGCAAGAUACAAUGAGUGAGGACAGAAGGAGGAAUAAGCAGGAGGGGAAGCAAACUGAAAGAAAACUGGUGACGGACUGAGGAGAGGAGGGAGGGAAGGCACGGCAUGGAGUAGGGGCAAGCAGAGGAUGCUUGGUUCCCAGAAGAGCGAGUGCUGUGAGCUGAGGCUGUCCCUCAUCAACGCAGAGAUGAGAGCAACGCGGACAGGGUGCUCGCAGGAUGCUCCUCACCCUCGAGACCCCAUGAGAAGCCCAGAUCCUCAGGGGAGUUGGCAAGCAGGUGGCAAUCUGCAAUACCUCACAUCCUGCACCACAGGAGUUCUGCCUUCAAUUUCAAGGAGCUAUAAGUCACCUCCGACGGUCCUGUAUGUUAACGUGUUGCCUACAGAUCAUGCAUGGGGAUGAAGGAUCCUGCACAGGGGGAUCAAUACAGUCAAUCUGUUAGAAAGCCUUUGGCCUCUUUGAUACUUCUGUUGAUUCAUGCAUGGGAAAGACUCUUUUUAUCUCCAAGAGUAUUGCCUCACAUGGUAGAACCUCAUGGCUAUAACAGAGAACAUGACUAACUAUUGGACUGGAAACUGAUUGAUUGGUGUAUGAAAGACUCUGCAGUAAUGGGGACGUGGAUGAUGGUGCAGGCAGUCUUCUCUUUUUUGUUUCUACUGUCAGCUGCAGAGUUUCACAGUUAAUGCCCUUGCUAAAGAGCAGAGAGGAGGCUUUGAAGCACUCACUCUGAUCUCUGCAGGGGAGCUGAGGGCCUUCUGAGAGCUCAGAGCAGAGAAACCCUUUGGGCUCAGGUUGUUUCCCCUCCUUAGAAAGGAGCAUAACUCAAUUCCCACACAGCUUUUAGCACAGGUCAUCUGAAAAUGCCCACAUGUUGCAGAAUAUACUGUCAAAAAUGAUGAAUUGCAUGUUGCACUUGUUAUGUGAAGAAAUUUAACUCAGUAUUUUAUCCAGCAAUCCUCAAAGUAUCCCUAGAUCAUAAUAUUUAGUUCAUAUUUAUUGCUUUUUUGUCCCAUGUUGCUUUGCUAUUUCAGGUGUGCUGGCAUAUUCUACUCUAAAUUCUCUUCUCCCUUUAUGACUGACUAAUCUAUGAUGAAGGUGUCUUUGUAAUCACAAGGGAAGAAGCAGCUCCAUAUUAAAAAGGGCCUUGCCAAAUGAGGCAGGAAGGAAAACAAUACCUCAACAUUUAUCUAUUAUUCCCCUGCAUUCAUGCAAUGCAAACAACUCAAAUAAUAUUUAGUUGUGUCAUUCCUGUUAAACAAUGCAGUGCUAUCCAGCUUGAAAGGAAAGCUCUUUCCCUUACAAAGAUUUCUCUUUUCAUGGGAAGUUUGAUGUCAAGGUCUAACCCUGUUUCUGACUCGGCUUCAGGUAUGAAACUGAAUCUACUUAAACUUGUCAGAUAACUUCAGAUUCAACCACUGUUUGAAGAUCUGCAGCAGACCCUGAUGAUUUUUCUUCUCAUCGUAAUCAAUAAAGAUUUUGCUGAAUAAAUGGACAAAGAAAGGACCUGUAAUGAAAGGCUAACAAAAGUCAAGAGAAAUGAAAAAACCCAGGAAGCAAUGAAAGUUCAAAUUGGAAGUUAUGCUGAUGUACAAAUUUAAGCAGUGUUAGCAUCAGGCUUAAUUGUCAUUAA